AGCAGCCGCGGUAAUUCCAGCUCCAAUAGCGUAUAUUAAAGUUGUUGCAGUUAAAAAGCUCGUAGUUGAAUUUCGGGAUCGGCAUGUCGGUCGUGCCUUACGGGGUAUGAACUGACAUCGUCGGUUUCUCACCUUCUGGAGAAUCGUGAUGCUCUUAAUUGGGUGUUACGUGGAUCCAGGACCUUUACCUUGAAAAAAUUAGAGUGUUUAAAGCAGGCAUUUUGCUCGAAUACAUUAGCAUGGAAUAAUAAAAUAGGACGGUUUGGUUCUAUUUUGUUGGUUUCUAGGAUCACCGUAA
RNAcentral lists this ribosomal RNA (298 nucleotides) under uncultured Entrophosporaceae. RNAcentral's name for it is "uncultured Claroideoglomeraceae partial small subunit ribosomal RNA". It matches the Rfam family "Eukaryotic small subunit ribosomal RNA", at positions 569 to 865 of the family's 1831-position model. Lineage: Eukaryota; Fungi; Glomeromycota; Glomeromycetes; Entrophosporales; Entrophosporaceae. The record is from RNAcentral.